ACCAUCCACAUCUUCUUCCUCCACUACCAUGGAUGUAGCAGACACAGGGUCUGAUAAUGAAAGCAGUGUGGGUCCUACUUCAAAGGAGAGGAGAGACCUGCUUGAUGCAAAACUAAAAGGACACAGACACGACCGUCUGAGGAGAAAGCUGCCUGCUGAGACCCAGUGGCUGAAUGCUCUUGAGGAAGACCAGCGUGUGAAAAAGAGACUGGUGGAAAUCAUUGAGACAUCAGAACAAAAAGCAUCCGAAAACUAUUCAAAAAUGUCCAAUACACUGGAAAGACUUACCACAUCGAUUGUUGAUGGGUUUUCUCUUCUGAAACAGGUCAUUCAUGCACCUGCACAACCACCACACUACAUGCCAUAUGAGCCAAGAGGUCCGAUGUAUUCGCACACAAUGGCCCACCAUUCUGUCCACCAAAACUCAGCAAAUUACCCAUACCCAAACAACUCCACUUCUGACAGAACACGUCAAAACACAAGACCAGGAAACACUAUGAACACUGAAGCUGUGUUCCACACACCUGCUGAAGCCACUGACCAAUUUUCAUUCAGUCAGGCCCUUUUUAAUGACCAGUAGAGUACUGUUUUAUACAUCGAAACAAGUCUGGUACAGUUAAGUAUAUACAAGUUCCACUUUUGCACAAGGUUGCACACAUGUCAGGUUGUUAAUCACAGUGUUAUUUACUCUGACAGUGUUUUUUUUUUUCUGUUUGCUAUCUUUUUAUACAUACUGUGAAAAGCUUAAAAUGUAGCAAUUGCACAAUACUUUAACUAUUUACAUUUUUGUUACGUGAAUCUUUAUAAGAGUGGUGAUCUAGUCCAGUCCUUGGGAGCUACUGCUACUUAGAUGUAUUUAUUUCUCCAAAACACCACUAUCAAAUACAUACUGAUGAUUGAAAUCAGCUAUUUCAUACUGGUUUGUUGAAGAAAAUGCAGCUGAAAUGUACCUGUGGUAGCUCCCAAGUUAUGGACUUGGGCAUCACUGAUUUAAAAGUGUACAGUAACUGUGCUGCUUUUCUCCCAUGUUUAAAAAGCUUUAUCUGUUGUAGAUCUGUUAUAAUCUGAUCUGUUCAUAAAUGAAACACAAAAUAAGAACAUGUUAAGUGUGUUCGUUUGAAUAAAUUGACAAACAUUUUAAAA
Nematolebias whitei (Rio pearlfish) is the source of this 1143-nucleotide long non-coding RNA. RefSeq lists it as uncharacterized. The record is from RefSeq and is a predicted model, not a curated record. Lineage: Eukaryota; Metazoa; Chordata; Actinopteri; Cyprinodontiformes; Rivulidae. The transcript has 2 exons.